Molecule: ribosomal RNA, 253 nt
Filed under: uncultured bacterium
Lineage: Bacteria
Description: partial 16S ribosomal RNA
Rfam family: Bacterial small subunit ribosomal RNA
Source: RNAcentral
GACGUAGGGCGCGAGCGUUGUCCGGAUUUAUUGGGCGUAAAGAGCUCGUAGGCGGCUUGUCGCGUCGUCCGUGAAAACUCACAGCUCAACUGUGAGCUUGCGGUCGAUACGGGCAGGCUGGAGUUCGGUAGGGGAGACUGGAAUUCCUGGUGUAGCGGUGAAAUGCGCAGAUAUCAGGAGGAACACCAAUGGCGAAAGCAGGUACCUGGACCAUUACUGACACUCAGCUGCGAAAGCUAGGGGAGCAAACAGG